GCGGGCGUGGCGGAAUUGGCAGACGCACUGGAUUUAGGUUCCAGCGGCCUUGGCCGUGGGGGUUCAAGUCCCUCCGCCCGCACCA
This 85-nucleotide transfer RNA is filed under the name Pseudomonadota bacterium. RNAcentral's name for it is "tRNA-Leu". It matches the Rfam family "tRNA". Rfam says of the family: Transfer RNA (tRNA) molecules are approximately 80 nucleotides in length. Their secondary structure includes four short double-helical elements and three loops (D, anti-codon, and T loops). Further hydrogen bonds mediate the characteristic L-shaped molecular structure. tRNAs have two regions of fundamental functional importance: the anti-codon, which is responsible for specific mRNA codon recognition, and the 3' end, to which the tRNAs corresponding amino acid is attached (by aminoacyl-tRNA synthetases). tRNAs cope with the degeneracy of the genetic code in two manners: having more than one tRNA (with a specific anti-codon) for a particular amino acid; and 'wobble' base-pairing, i.e. permitting non-standard base-pairing at the 3rd anti-codon position. Lineage: Bacteria; Pseudomonadati; Pseudomonadota. The record is from RNAcentral.